Molecule: non-coding RNA, 84 nt
Organism: Bombyx mori (domestic silkworm)
Lineage: Eukaryota; Metazoa; Arthropoda; Insecta; Lepidoptera; Bombycidae
Source: Rfam
CUAACUCAAAUUUGUAUGGAGUUAGAACGUUUGCCUACGUUUGCCGCUAGGGGCGCUGUUCAAGCUCCAUACAAAUUUGAAUUC